Molecule: ribosomal RNA, 475 nt
Filed under: uncultured bacterium
Lineage: Bacteria
Description: SSU rRNA
Rfam family: Bacterial small subunit ribosomal RNA
Source: RNAcentral
AGGAUGAACGCUGGCGGCGUGCCUAACACAUGCAAGUCGAACGUCCUGUCUCGCAAGAGGCAGGGAGUGGCGGACGGGUGAGUACCACGUGGGUCAUCUACCGUGAGGUGAGGAAUACCGGCGAGAAAUCGCCGACAAGACCGCAUAGCCUCGGUGCAAGUCGAGGAAAGCUCUCUCGAGAGAGGGAGCGCCACACGAGGAGCCUGCGCCCGAUUAGCUAGCUGGUGGAGUAAUGGUUCACCAGGGCGACGAUCGGUAGCUGGUCUGAGAGGACGAUCAGCCACACUGGGAUUGAGAACGGCCCAGACUCCUACGGGGGCAGCAGUGAGGAAUUUUCGUCAAUGGGGGCAACCCUGAACGAGCAACGCCGCGUGCAGGAAGAAGGUUUCGGAUCGUAAACUGCUUUUCUCGGGAAGAGAACGGACGGUACCCGAGGAAUUAGCCCCGGCUAACUACGUGCCAGCAGCCGCGGUAA